Molecule: microRNA precursor, 119 nt
Filed under: Paramuricea clavata
Lineage: Eukaryota; Metazoa; Cnidaria; Anthozoa; Malacalcyonacea; Plexauridae
Source: RNAcentral
GUUGUAAGUACUAUUUACAACAUGAGCGGCUGUGUUGUAUCGGAUAUACAAACUCGAGCCGAAGGCGAGAGUUUAUAUCCGAUACAACACAGACGCGAAUGUUGUAAAUGACUUAAAAA